RNAcentral lists this long non-coding RNA (206 nucleotides) under Eucalyptus grandis. Its description in RNAcentral is "long non-coding RNA (EGRA_LNC001159)". The record is from RNAcentral. Lineage: Eukaryota; Viridiplantae; Streptophyta; Magnoliopsida; Myrtales; Myrtaceae.
ACAUCGCCUUUUUUCUUCAUCUUCAGCACACAGAGAAGAGACAGCUUUUGUAUGGCCGCCAGCUCGAGGACUUCUGGGAUCGUGGGAAUCGGCAAGCGAGUCGUUGACGAUCGGCGACGUCCACAGAUUUGAGCAGAGUUUUGUUGCCUCGAUAAUUUAAUGAACUACCAUUAGUUUCAUGGAAUUUUCCUGCUAUUAUCCGCUAG